AACGCUGGCGGCGUGCUUAACACAUGCAAGUUGAACGGACAUACAGUUGAAGGGCAACUGGAAGCUGUAUGUUAGUGGCGGACGGGUGAGUAACACGUAGAUAACCUACCCUUAAGUGGGGGACAACCCAGGGAAACUUGGGCUAAUACCGCAUAAGACCACGUGCUGGGAUGUGCGUGGUAAAAGGAGCAAUUUGCUUAGGGAUGGGUCUGCGGCCUAUCAGGUAGUUGGUGGGGUAAGUGCCCACCAAGCCAGAGACGGGUAGCCGGUCUGAGAGGACGAACGGCCACACUGGAACUGAGACACGGUCCAGACUCCUACGGGAGGCAGCAGUGGGGAAUCUUGCACAAUGGGCGAAAGCCUGAUGCAGCGACGCCGCGUGGGGGACGAAGGCCUUCGGGUUGUAAACUCCUUUUGUAGGGGAAAAUGAUGAUGGUACCCUGCGAAUAAGCCACGGCUAACUCUGUGCCAGCAGCCGCGGUAUGACAGAGGUGGCGAGCGUUGUUCGGAAUUACUGGGCUUAAAGGGCGCGUAGGCGGUGGUACAAGUCUGGGGUGGAAUUCGGAAGCUUAACUUACGAACUGCCCUGGAAACUGUAUCACUUGAGUUGGUGAGGGGAAGGCGGAAUUCCUGGUGUAGCGGUGAAAUGCGU
Molecule: ribosomal RNA, 652 nt
Filed under: uncultured bacterium
Lineage: Bacteria
Description: bacterial SSU rRNA
Rfam family: Bacterial small subunit ribosomal RNA
Source: RNAcentral